UGGGGGAUAUUGCACAAUGGGCGAAAGCCUGAUGCAGCGACGCCGCGUGGGGGAUGAAGGCUUUCGGGUUGUAAACCUCUUUCGCUAUCGAACAAGGCCCGCUUAGGGUGGGUUGAGGGUAGGUGGAGAAGAAGCGCCGGCUAACUACGUGCCAGCAGCCGCGGUAAUACGUAGGGCGCGAGCGUUGUCCGGAAUUAUUGGGCGUAAAGGGCUUGUAGGCGGCUUGUUGCGCCUGCUGUGAAAACGCGGGGCUUAACUUCGCGCGUGCAGUGGGUACGGGCAGGCUUGAGUGUGGUAGGGGUGACUGGAAUUCCAGGUGUAGCAGUGGAAUGCGCAGAUAUCUGGAGGAACACCGAUGGCGAAGGCAGGUCACUGGGCCAUUACUGACGCUGAGGAGCGAAAGCAUGGGUAGCGAACAGG
Molecule: ribosomal RNA, 420 nt
Filed under: bacterium
Lineage: Bacteria
Also listed under: 1 other name
Description: partial 16S ribosomal RNA
Rfam family: Bacterial small subunit ribosomal RNA
Source: RNAcentral